UUACUGGGCGUAAAGCGGGCGCAGACGGUUACUUAAGCAGGAUGUGAAAUCCCCGGGCUCAACCUGGGAACUGCGUUCUGAACUGGGUGACUAGAGUGUGUCAGAGGGAGGUAGAAUUCCACGUGCAGCAGUGAAAUGCGUAGAGAUGUGGAGGAAUACCGAUGGCGAAGGCAGCCUCCUGGGAUAACACUGACGUUCAUGCCCGAAAGCGUGGGUAGCAAACAGGAUUAGAUACCCUGGUAGUCCACGCCCUAAACGAUGUCGAUUAGCUGUUGGGCAGCUUGACUGCUUAGUAGCGAAGCUAACGCGUGAAAUCGACCGCCUGGGGAGUACGGUCGCAAGAUUAAAACUCAAAGGAAUUGACGGGGACCCGCACAAGCGGUGGAUGAUGUGGAUUAAUUCGAUGCAACGCGAAGAACCUUACCUGGUCUUGACAUGUACGGAACCCUCCAGAGACGGAGGGGUGCCUUCGGGAGCCGUAACACAGGUGCUGCAUGGCUGUCGUCAGCUCGUGUCGUGAGAAG
Molecule: ribosomal RNA, 524 nt
Filed under: uncultured bacterium
Lineage: Bacteria
Description: bacterial SSU rRNA
Rfam family: Bacterial small subunit ribosomal RNA
Source: RNAcentral